CGGUCCUGCUCACACAGGUACCUUCUCCAAAGGUGUGCCCUUUCCCAUCUACCAGGGCAGGCACCACAUUACUUACCAGCAGUAAUGCACUUCCCACAGUGUAUAUGCUUGUGCACAGGAACACUUCUCUCUGCAGUAGAUGUAUUGGGGGAGGGAAAGGGCUAGCUGAGGGGUCAGGGCUGAGCAGUCUACCAGCAAGGUCGGGAGCUGCUCAGCUGCUAAUCUCUCCAUCAUGUGUUUGUUUCAGAAACAAGAGCCCAUAAGUGCUGUCUCUUUCCUUCCAAGAAUAGCCUUCUCAUGGGACUGCUGGUUACUCUAACUCUGGGUACUAUCCUGUCUUAGCUGCCCAUUGCCCUUGUUACCCCAUGGCAACUUGGGGACAAUUUAACUUGCUCCUUUGGGUAGCUUUUAGUUAAGCCUAGCAGUGAUCCCACAGAAAAAUUUUUUGUCAUAUCAGCCCUUGCUCAUUUAAAUUAUCUGUAUGAUAUGUCCUGUCCACAACUUAGAGAAAUAAAAACAAUAGCAGUGAGCAAAAAAAAA
Molecule: long non-coding RNA, 540 nt
Filed under: Marmota monax (woodchuck)
Lineage: Eukaryota; Metazoa; Chordata; Mammalia; Rodentia; Sciuridae
Source: RNAcentral